Molecule: ribosomal RNA, 253 nt
Filed under: uncultured bacterium
Lineage: Bacteria
Description: partial 16S ribosomal RNA
Rfam family: Bacterial small subunit ribosomal RNA
Source: RNAcentral
UACGUAGGUGGCAAGCGUUGUCCGGAUUUACUGGGCGUAAAGGAUGCGUAGGCGGACAUUUACGUCAGAUGUGAAAUACCCGAGCUUAACUUGGGUGCUGCAUUUGAAACUGGGUGUCUAGAGUGCAGGAGAGGUAAGUGGAAUUCCUAGUGUAGCGGUGAAAUGCGUAGAGAUUAGGAAGAACACCAGUGGCGAAGGCGACUUACUGGACUGUAACUGACGCUGAGGCAUGAAAGCGUGGGGAGCAAACAGG